GCCCGGAUGGCGGAACUGGCAGACGCAAGGGACUUAAAAUCCCUCGGCCUCACGGCUGUGCGGGUUCAAUCCCCGCUCCGGGUA
RNAcentral lists this transfer RNA (84 nucleotides) under Nitratidesulfovibrio sp. HK-II. It matches the Rfam family "tRNA". Rfam says of the family: Transfer RNA (tRNA) molecules are approximately 80 nucleotides in length. Lineage: Bacteria; Pseudomonadati; Thermodesulfobacteriota; Desulfovibrionia; Desulfovibrionales; Desulfovibrionaceae. The record is from Rfam by way of RNAcentral.